AUGAAUCAUGAGGAUUCGGAAACAAUGCACCCUGUUCAAAGGGUGAACCGUGGUUCUCAGCAAUUGUUUCUUAUUGAUCCGUCUUUUCUUCCCGGGACAACUGCAUACUUUGGUUUACUCAAUGUGUUACACCAUGUAUUUGUUUUUUCACUUCCUGCCGGUGCUGAACUCUUUUGCUUGGCCAUGAGAAGGGCAGACCUGCCAAAUUUAGUUGCAAGUAAAGAUGCAGAUUUUUCAUAUGUUGAUGCUGUUUUUUGUUGCUUGGCACAUGUAACAACACAGGUUGUAUAUGGUUUGACGGAGGUUCUUCGAGAUGAAAUAAGAGAUGUGCGGCUUGUUGCCAACCCCCGCAUCUAUUCAGCUCCCUCUUGUUGCUCUAAUUAA
RNAcentral lists this ribosomal RNA (384 nucleotides) under Triticum aestivum (bread wheat). RNAcentral describes it as "partial small subunit ribosomal RNA". Lineage: Eukaryota; Viridiplantae; Streptophyta; Magnoliopsida; Poales; Poaceae. The record is from RNAcentral.